CUCAUUUUUUUUUCUUCCUCUUAUCUUCUUCUUUCUUCUUUUUCUUUUCUCUUUCUUUGUUCUUCUUGCUCGUGUUUCUGAGAGAGGUUUGUGAGUUGUUAGUGAGAUUUGAUUGAUAAGAAUCAACUGAUGAAGAUGUAUAGAUGAUGGAGGAUUCGAAGUUGUUGUUGAUGAAGAAUAAAAGAUGAUUCAGAGAACCAAUUGGGGUUUUCUAUGAUUAUGAAUUGGGGUUUCGAAUUGGUGAUGAUUAAGAUGAAAUUGAAGAUGGGUUCGUUCUUAAUUGGGUUUGAUAUAAGUUGUGGGGUUGUUCUGAAGUUGAUUUGAGGAUCGAAUCAAGAGCUAGGGUUCAUAAGAAAAGUUCAGAGGAGAGUGUGAAGAUGAAGUUAAUGGUUAGGGGAUUGAAUUAAUGAUGGGUUUGUUCCGAAUCGAAGAAUAGGUGGAUGUAUUGGGUUUAAUUGCAGUUUCUGUAGGAAAUUGAAUCUGAAAUUAGGGUUUUUGAUAUAAUGGAGAUUUAGGGUUCUUGGGCUUGAAGUUUAGCUGGAGAAGAUGAAAUCGACGGUUUAGGGUUUUGAUGAAAUCAAGGUAGAAGUUUAAGCAGAGGGUGAAUCAUCCAUUUCAAUUUGGGAUUUAGUCCGAGAACAAAUAAGAGAUUGAAUUCAAUCUGGUUGAAAGAAGUUGCUUUGAGGUAAUUGUCCUUCUUUGCAAUUUUAGUAAGUUAUGAAGUUCUUUUGUUGGAUUUAGGAAAUUAUCAAUGAAGUGAGACUUGAGAACGGAUAUGGUGGGUAUGAGUGAAUCUGUAAUUAGGAAUUAAGAUGAAUGAUUGUAAUUAGGAAUUAAGAUGAAUGAUUGUAAUUAGGAAUUAAGAUGAAUGAUGUUACAGAAGCAAAGAAUUGUAGUUCUGAAAGAAACGUAGCUGAGCUGUGAUGGUUGUAUGAAUGUAAGAACUGUUACAGGUAUGGAUGAAUCUUCAGUAAAUACCAUUUUGGUGGUUGUGGUUGUGGCUGAAAUGCAGAUGAAUUUAGAGUUGAAGCAUUAGUAUUGGUGAAUAUAUGAUGGAGUGGUAAUUAUAAGUAAUGGGUGUGGUUGCAUUAUAAUUGGGAGAGAAGUGUAAAUAAAAUAGAAGUUGCGGUUAAGGUUUAGAUAAUUGAGUUUCAGAAUGAAGGUUAGAUGAAUAUGUUGAGUUGAAUCUCUUCAGUGAAAGCUUGGAACUGCUGAACUGCAGUUAGACUCUAUUAACAACGAUCGAUUCAAAGAAUGAACCAGUGGAUCGUGGAUCUCGAGGUAGGCGUGACUUGUCAUCAAAAGAGUUUCAGAGACAGAUCAGAGUUGCGCAGCGGAAACUUUGUGGCGUUAAGUUAUCUGCUAUGUUUAUUAUGUUGUAUAUUUUUAUUUGCAAACCAAAUGACUAUUGUAUAUGUAUCAUUUGAGAGGAGUUCUUGUAUAUAUAUAUUUCAGAACGGGGCUAGUUUUGGGUUAAGAUUUGUAGCAAAUUUCUUAAUUGAAUGCUUAAGUUUAUGAUUUA
Long non-coding RNA from Papaver somniferum (opium poppy), 1522 nucleotides. RefSeq lists it as uncharacterized. The record is from RefSeq and is a predicted model, not a curated record. The transcript is spliced from 3 exons. NCBI's taxonomy places the organism in Eukaryota, Viridiplantae, Streptophyta, Magnoliopsida, Ranunculales, Papaveraceae.